CCAUGCAAUGAAAAAGACCCCAGAGAAGACAGGGAAAAGUCAGGAGUGUAUAAAAUCCCAGUUGAGAUAGGGAGAACACGGCAAAGUUCUUUGUACAUAGGGGUAACCAUAUGGACAUUACAGCAAAGGAUUGCCAAACACAAGAAGGACAUAGCCGUAAGAGCUACAACCACCGCCCUGGCAGAGGUUAUGUACAAAUGAUGUGAACAUGGAUUCGGAUAAGGCAAGGAUUGUGAAACCAGUGACAAAAAAGUUGCAAGCCCAACUAUUGGAAGGACUGGAAAUCAUAAAAGCUAAAAGCAUGGGCCCGGUGUUAAAUGAAAGAACAUCAGUGGAAAUCCUUGAUGCUUGGACAUAUCUAGUGAAGAGAGGAAGCCAACAGACAUCAUCAUCUGGCAACUGCCCAACAGAAGCCCACUAAGGAAAGAUGUGGAAAGAGAGGUUUUUUGAUUUUUAAUUUUGUUUUCAUUUAUAUAUAUA
This 480-nucleotide long non-coding RNA is filed under the name Androctonus crassicauda. The record is from RNAcentral. Lineage: Eukaryota; Metazoa; Arthropoda; Arachnida; Scorpiones; Buthidae.